Molecule: long non-coding RNA, 786 nt
Organism: Nematostella vectensis (starlet sea anemone)
Lineage: Eukaryota; Metazoa; Cnidaria; Anthozoa; Actiniaria; Edwardsiidae
Exons: 2
Source: RefSeq, a predicted model, not a curated record
AACCGCCUGCUUCAGUCAGUGCAGAUUUUUUUACAAAUAGGGUUGAAUAAAGAAGUAAACUGGAGACUAUUAAUCCACGAAUGUAUAGUUUGUCUGCUGGUUAUUCGCCAACGUGAGCUCAGCUUGAGCAAGAGUGAGAUUAAAUCAAAACGCAUUUUUCAACUGAUUUCCACCCACUUGUGUAGACCGAUAACGAACAAGAAUAAAACUCAUUACACCAUGGCCUUUUAAUCAAACCACCUCUACCAUCGCUCGACCAAACAACCAGUAUCCAUUUAGUGGAAUCAUGCGAGCGGCAGUGCUGUGAACUCGUUAGAUCUACCGGAUAGAACUCGUAAACCACGCUUUAGCCAUCAAAUAAUAACCUUGAACCAACUAAAGCAAGGCUAAAUUGUAAAGAGAUCCAAGAGCAACUAUAAGCAAAAAGUAACACGAUGGGCCAACAGGAAAGCAAACGAUGCCGAGUUUGCGCCAUGAGGCUCGACCCGAAAAACAAACGCGAAAUGGAACAAGCACUUUGCUCCGAAUGUCGAACAAAAGGCGGCAAAGCAUUGUGGGAGAAUCGCGAUGUUCUCAAAACAGUGUUACUCGGUGGAUCUGGGGCGAGCGAGAAAAAGAAGACUAAGAAAGAAAAGAAAGACAAAUCAAAACCAAAGCGUCGUUCACGUGCGACGUAAAUCCCAUAUUGAAUAAUCAAGUGUUAUAUUAUCAGCAACUUGACUGAAAACACUAGCAUAGUGCAUUAUAGUAUAGUAUGCCAUAAAUUAGCUUGAUUCAUACCCCUCA